RNAcentral lists this transfer RNA (74 nucleotides) under Oceanicaulis sp. RNAcentral's name for it is "tRNA-Gly". It matches the Rfam family "tRNA". From Rfam's summary of the family: Transfer RNA (tRNA) molecules are approximately 80 nucleotides in length. The record is from RNAcentral. Lineage: Bacteria; Pseudomonadati; Pseudomonadota; Alphaproteobacteria; Maricaulales; Maricaulaceae.
GCGGGUAUAGCACAAUGGUAGUGCAGCAGCCUUCCAAGCUGAGGAUGCCGGUUCGAUCCCGGCUACCCGCUCUA